Long non-coding RNA from Drosophila serrata, 280 nucleotides. NCBI's taxonomy places the organism in Eukaryota, Metazoa, Arthropoda, Insecta, Diptera, Drosophilidae. The record is from RefSeq and is a predicted model, not a curated record.
UAUCGACGCUAUCCAUGGAUUGGUGCUAUCGAGCCGCCAUCGAUAGCGGCGCGCACUCUCGACAGUGGUCAAUCGCUAUCGUAGAUAGUUCGGUUUUCUCAUCUCUACCUUAAAAGUGUGAACGAAAGCACAUUGCGCGGAUUUGUGGCAUAGUUUUACAAAUUGUAAUUUAUUACAAUAUGGAUCGUUUUCUUCAAAUAGCAAAAUUUUGUGUGACAAUAUUAAAAGGAAAUGGAUCCCUUAUUAUGGAUCAAGAUGAACCUGAAAGGCUUUCCCGGAU